UGGAGAGUUUGAUCCUGGCUCAGAUUGAACGCUGGCGGCAGGCUUAACACAUGCAAGUCGAGCGGUAACAGAUCUAGCUUGCUAGAUGCUGACGAGCGGCGGACGGGUGAGUAAUGCAUAGGAAACUGCCCAGUAGUGGGGGAUAGCCCGGGGAAACCCGGAUUAAUACCGCGUACGCCCUUCGGGGGAAAGCAGGGGAUCUUCGGACCUUGCGCUAUUGGAUGUGCCUAUGUCGGAUUAGCUAGUUGGUGGGGUAAAGGCCUACCAAGGCGACGAUCCGUAGCUGGUCUGAGAGGAUGAUCAGCCACAUCGGGACUGAGACACGGCCCGAACUCCUACGGGAGGCAGCAGUGGGGAAUAUUGGACAAUGGGGGCAACCCUGAUCCAGCCAUGCCGCGUGUGUGAAGAAGGCUUUCGGGUUGUAAAGCACUUUCAGURRGGAGGAAAACYYURUGRCUAAUACYCAURRGGCUUGACGUUACYUACAGAAGAAGCACCGGCUAACUCCGUGCCAGCAGCCGCGGUAAU
This 528-nucleotide ribosomal RNA is filed under the name Marinobacter sp. YKS5. Its description in RNAcentral is "bacterial SSU rRNA". It matches the Rfam family "Bacterial small subunit ribosomal RNA", at positions 1 to 524 of the family's 1533-position model. Lineage: Bacteria; Pseudomonadati; Pseudomonadota; Gammaproteobacteria; Pseudomonadales; Marinobacteraceae. The record is from RNAcentral.